GACGAACGCUGGCGGCGUGCUUAACACAUGCAAGUCGAACGGUGAAGCUCCAGCUUGCUGGAGUGGAUCAGUGGCGAACGGGUGAGUAACACGUGAGCAACCUGCCCCUGACUCUGGAAUAAGCGCUGGAAACGGCGUCUAAUACUGGAUACGAGAAGGGUCCGCAUGGGCACUUUCUGGAAAGUUUUUCGGUUGGGGAUGGGCUCGCGGCCUAUCAGCUUGUUGGUGAGGUAAUGGCUCACCAAGGCGACGACGGGUAGCCGGCCUGAGAGGGCGACCGGCCACACUGGGACUGAGACGCGGCCCAGACUCCUACGGGAGGCAGCAGUGGGGAAUAUUGCACAAUGGGCGAAAGCCUGAUGCAGCGACGCCGCGUGAGGGAUGACGGCCUUCGGGUUGUAAACCUCUUUCAGCAGGGAAGAAGCGAAAGUGACGGUACCUGCAGAAGAAGCACCGGCUAACUACGUG
Molecule: ribosomal RNA, 468 nt
Filed under: uncultured bacterium
Lineage: Bacteria
Description: partial 16S ribosomal RNA
Rfam family: Bacterial small subunit ribosomal RNA
Source: RNAcentral